UAGGACUUCAAUCUUCAAAUCUCGUUGUCUUCCAUCUUGACUCCACAAAGAUCAAUGAGAGGGCAGGUACAUGCUUUUGCAGUGACCUUGACAUGUAGAUUUGUAUGCUUUUUAAAACAUACUUCAUUGUUAGAAUUUAAGGGAAAAUGUCACCCAUUUGAUAGUUCAUUUGGUUUCCAACUAUCUUAUUUCUUACUUCCCAGCCUCACAUAUAUGUUUUUAUGUAAAAUGAAAUGGAAGAUAAACAGAGUUUGACUUGCUUCAUCAUUCUGGUGCAUAUUUGAUUUGAAGCAUUUACCUAAAGCAUGUUAUCAAAUCUAAAUCUAGCCGUGUUAAUUCAGAUAUAUAAUUUCGAAUAUGAAUUAUCCAAAAGCCAGAUGUGUCAUUUUUUUUUCCUUAACGAUUUAAAGCUUUAGUAAUAUUAUGCGGUUCUUACACAAAUAUAUAGCCUUAUCAACAGCAACCAGGCCAUUGAGGUAUAAAUCUAAUACAUAUGUAUAGAACACUAUGCAGGCAACUUUUACCACAGCAUCCAAGAUGUUACUUCUCUAUUAUACAUUAAAGUCACCAUCAAGGAGGUUCUUUCACUGAUCAAGGUGAGAUUGGGACUUGGCUUUUGUUUACGUGAUGAGACAAGCCACCUGAUUCGAUACAUGACGCUGAAGAAGCAUGGCGGGAGAGUGAGGCCCUGUCACUUUGGGAGGGGUUGAGGAGAGUGAUUCGCUACAUACGUUGAACAAGCAUGGUGGGCCACCU
RNAcentral lists this long non-coding RNA (756 nucleotides) under Linum usitatissimum (flax). RNAcentral describes it as "long non-coding RNA (LUSI_LNC005185)". Lineage: Eukaryota; Viridiplantae; Streptophyta; Magnoliopsida; Malpighiales; Linaceae. The record is from RNAcentral.